CCCUCUCUCUGGGAUAGCCUCGAGAAAUCGUGGGUAAUACCGGAUACUCCGGAUCCAUCGCAUGGUGGAUCCGGGAAAGCUCCGACGGUGAGGGAUGGGCCCGCGGCCUGUUAGCUUGUUGGUGGGGUAAUGGCCCACCAAGCCGAUGAUCGGUACGGGUUGUGAGAGCAAGGGCCCGGAGAUGGAACCUGAGACAAGGUUCCAGACCCUACGGGGUGCAGCAGGCGCGAAACCUCCGCAAUGUACGAAAGUGCGACGGGGGGAUCCCAAGUGUUAUGCUUUUUUGUAUGACUUUUCAUUAGUGUAAAAAGCUUUUAGAAUAAGAGCUGGGCAAGACCGGUGCCAGCCGCCGCGGUAACACCGGCAGCUCGAGUGGUAGCUGUUUUUAUUGGGCCUAAAGCGUUCGUAGCCGGUUUGAUAAGUCUUUGGUGAAAGCUUGUAGCUUAACUAUAAGAAUUGCUGGAGAUACUAUUAGACUUGAAGUCGGGAGAGGUUAGAGGUACUACCGGGGUAGGGGUGAAAUCCUAUAAUCCUGGGAGGACCACCUGUGGCGAAGGCGUCUAACUGGAACGAUCUUGACGGUGAGUAACGAAAGCCAGGGGCGCGAACCGGAUUAGAUACCCGGGUAGUCCUGGCCGUAAACGAUGUGGACUUGGUGUUGGAAUGGCUUUGAGUUGUUCCGGUGCCGAAGGGAAGCUGUUAAGUCCACCGCCUGGGAAGUACGGUCGCAAGACUGAAACUUAA
RNAcentral lists this ribosomal RNA (744 nucleotides) under uncultured archaeon. Its description in RNAcentral is "bacterial SSU rRNA". It matches the Rfam family "Archaeal small subunit ribosomal RNA", at positions 113 to 859 of the family's 1478-position model. The record is from RNAcentral.